Molecule: ribosomal RNA, 465 nt
Filed under: uncultured bacterium
Lineage: Bacteria
Description: partial 16S ribosomal RNA
Rfam family: Bacterial small subunit ribosomal RNA
Source: RNAcentral
GACGAACGCUGGCGGCGUGCUUAACACAUGCAAGUCGAACGGAAAGGCCCUGCUUGCAGGGUACUCGAGUGGCGAACGGGUGAGUAACACGUGGGUUAUCUGCCCUGCACUUCGGGAUAAGCCUGGGAAACUGGGUCUAAUACCGGAUAGGAGCCAUUUUUAGUGUGAUGGUUGGAAAGUUUUUUCGGUGUAGGAUGAGCUCGCGGCCUAUCAGCUUGUUGGUGGGGUAAUGGCCUACCAAGGCGGCGACGGGUAGCCGGCCUGAGAGGGUGGACAGCCACAUUGGGACUGGGAUACGGCCCAGACUCCUACGGGAGGCAGCAGUGGGGAAUAUUGCACAAUGGGCGCAAGCCUGAUGCAGCGACGCCGCGUGGGGGAUGACGGCCUUCGGGUUGUAAACUCCUUUCGCUAGGGACGAAGCUUUUUGUGACGGUACCUAGAUAAGAAGCACCGGCUAACUACGUG